GCGUCGGUGGUGCAUUGGUUCAGCACGCGCUCCCAGAUAGGGUGAAGUGUGGGUUUGAAUCCCAACUGGCGCA
Parelaphostrongylus tenuis is the source of this 73-nucleotide non-coding RNA. The record is from the annotation of a GenBank genome assembly. NCBI's taxonomy places the organism in Eukaryota, Metazoa, Nematoda, Chromadorea, Rhabditida, Metastrongylidae.